Non-coding RNA from Cucurbita pepo subsp. pepo (vegetable marrow), 2561 nucleotides. Lineage: Eukaryota; Viridiplantae; Streptophyta; Magnoliopsida; Cucurbitales; Cucurbitaceae. The record is from RefSeq and is a predicted model, not a curated record.
UCUGAGCUCACCGAUGGAGUCCUCACAACCUCAGAGUCCCGACGAGUACUCUGCCUCUUCGACAGUUAUCACCUUCGGACGCCCAAUUCCUCUUCUCCGUGGGCCAAUUCGAGCCGGUCAAUCCGAAAAUCCCUCGGCAGGUCCGUACAUGCUUGCGUUUAGGGAUCCCCAAGCGUGGGAAUCUGCAUACAAAAUAUGCGAGUUGAAGAUUAUUGAACAAUGCGAGACCGGCGCGAGGAUUGGCUGUUCAAUAAUUGCUUCCGACAAAUGCAAGCCGCGGUGGUGGGGAUUUUUGAUGCAAUCGAAGAAGGGGUUGGAUUUGAAGGCGAGGGAGAUGUGCGAAGAGCGAGAAAUGUAGGCUUGUUUGGCUGCUGCGAAGGAGAGGUGUGUUGGUUUCGCGAAGGAGAAGUGUUGUAAGCCGUUCAUGGAUGCUAGAAUUGGAAUCUUUCAAAAGGUCUGAUCAGUGGACAAUGUAGAGGCUAGUUCCGUGCUUAAUUAUUGGAAAUAUCUGUUCGGACGGCCAUACAUGUUCAUAUACCACAAUCCGUGUCAGUUUCUUGGUUAUUCCAGGUUCACAAGCAUUUAUUUCUGGUUGGUUAAUUACAACGGCGGACAAAGCAUCCAAAUGAAAGCAGCUUCUCAAUGCUUAAUUUUGUUUCUGAUCCUUUGUGGCAGCUGUGGUUAAAUCAAUGUGAGUAUGACGAAAAUGAUAUGCUUAAUUUCGUUUCCAUGAUAUAUCUGAAGGUACAAUAUGUAUGCGUGUCGAUAUUCGUGACAACACACCACUGUAGGCACAUUUUUUAGGGAAAAGAAUUAGAUGCUUGUAAUUUAGAUACAAUGUGGGUUCUUUUUUCUUCUUUUAAUGAAAGAACAAACUUUAGAAUAGAAAUGCGCCAUACGAAAAGCAAAGCCCAAACUAAAAGGCUCCUCGUAAACAGACAACCUAGUCUAAGAUUCAGACAGGCAGCUCCUCCUAUGAACACUCAAACACCUCAAAACAUUCUCCUAUUCCUCGAGUCAAUACUGUCGAUGGUUUCAUCGACUGGUAUGAGAUUCGGAUAUGUUUGCUCUAGGAGCGAAGGAGGUACUUGAAUAUGACAUUCUUCCUAUUAAACCAAUCAUUUGCACGCAAUCAUAAAAACUAACUUCAUCAUUGUUCUUGAAUGGUUUUCUUUUUUCUAACAUUUGACUUCUUGAUCGACAGUAUAUGUUCUAAUUUUCUAAGCUAUACCCAGCUUGGUUAGUUCGUUGUUUUGUUUUGUUGUUUUGAGUUUCAUUCUUAACAGAAGGACGAUAGUUGAAUAUGAAUUAGAAAAAAUAGUUUGCUUUAGUUAAUUGAUUUUAAUUAGCUUAGGAUUGUGAAGUUUGAAGCUCAAUGUGUGGAUUGUGCUGCAAAUGAAUUAUAGAAAACUGGAUUCAUGCUGUAUUUUUAGCCUAAGUUUUAUGUAGCCAUGGGAUUAACAAAUUCAUAGGAUCAUAGUUUAGAACGAACAUUCGGUUUAUGUACCCAUGGAAUAUAGGUCGUCUCGAGUUCUUCAUUCAAACAAGGCCGAAAACAAAGAUUCAGGACUGUUCAUGUUUGGGAAUAAGGGAAUAUAUAAUGCCUCCAACAACGUAUAAACACUAUUCUUUCAUUUUUUAUGCUUCCUCCGAAUAAAAUAAAAAUAUCCCAUUAGGGGACAGUCUAUUCUAAUCACCAUCCCACAGGACAGGAGCUUUAAACUUGCCUAUAUUAUAUUGCAGAAAAAAAUAAUAAAUAAAUGUUUGUAGAACUUCAAAGCAAUAAGCAUGGAGAAGGGGAUCUCAAAAGCACCAAAACCUCUUUGGAUAAGAGAAAUUCUGUCACUCAAAACCCUAACAGAUUCCCAGAGCAGAGAGGCAAGCAUUAGUGCAGAUCUGCUUCCUACGCCAUUUUUAGGCGAAGCUCAAGAAUCUCCAUUGCUAUCGCCGAUUACCCUUUCUAGAAAAUAUGUAUAUCAUUAUUGUCGAUGACACGACCAAAUAAACCAACCUGCAACAAGAAGAGAGAUUCACAAAUGGUUGUUUAGGUGUAGAAGAAUUUGCUAAAGUAAGAUGAACUCUGCAAGGAAGAAGAGAUGGGGAAGUGUUUGAAAGUAGUAAGAUUGAUGGUUGUAGGCAAGAGAAGGUGGUUGGUUGUGUCGUAAUUCGAUUUUCUCGUGAUACCAUCAAAAGGUGAAGCUACCAUAUGAUCUGAUCUUUCCUUGUGUGAAGAGCAAGAAGAAGGUUAGAUCAUGCUGGCAGCUUCAACUGCUGGUGAUGCACGGCAAAGUCUGAGAGUUGGUGUUAUUGUUUGAAUGAAGAUGAGGGGAUAUAAAUAGAGGGGGAAGUCUUAGAGGGGAUAUAAACAGAGGGGGAAGUCUUAGUUUUUGUUGGUGAAGUGUAUGUGAAGGGGUUUGAAAAUGAAAAAGUAAAAAAAUGAAGAAAACGUAGAUAUAUGGCAGAGUGGCAAUGGUCCAAAGGUAACGGCCCAACCCCACCGUUAGUAGAUAUUGUUCUCCUUGGGCUUUCCCUCAAGAUUUUUAAAACGCUUUGUUAGAGAG